This 254-nucleotide ribosomal RNA is filed under the name uncultured bacterium. Its description in RNAcentral is "partial 16S ribosomal RNA". It matches the Rfam family "Bacterial small subunit ribosomal RNA", at positions 524 to 776 of the family's 1533-position model. The record is from RNAcentral.
UACGUAGGGUGCGAGCGUUGUCCGGAAUUAUUGGGCGUAAAGAGCUCGUAGGCGGUGUGUCACGUCGGCCGUGAAAACCUGCAGCUUAACUGUGGGCGUGCGGUCGAUACGGGCAUCACUGGAGUUCGGCAGGGGAGACUGGAAUUCCUGGUGUAGCGGUGAAAUGCGCAGAUAUCAGGAGGAACACCGGUGGCGAAGGCGGUGGUCUGGGCCGGCACUGACGCUGAGGAGCGAAAGCGUGGGUAGCAAACAGG